RNAcentral lists this microRNA precursor (186 nucleotides) under Sorghum bicolor (sorghum). Its description in RNAcentral is "pre miRNA MIR811". The record is from RNAcentral. Lineage: Eukaryota; Viridiplantae; Streptophyta; Magnoliopsida; Poales; Poaceae.
AACCUAUGCAACCACUAAUUAAGGCAACAAGAUUUAGAUCUAACGUCUGAGUUUUUUCCACUUAAAUCACUCCAUCUGUGGGUUUAAAUCUAACUCGUGUGUAUCCAGAUGAGAGGGUUUAAGUGAAAAAAAAACCUCAGACGUUGGAUCUAGAUCCUAUGACCUUAAUUGAUGGUUGCAUAGGUU